GAUGGAGAACGUAGUGAAAUGCGAUAAGUAAUGUGAAUUGCAGAAUUCAGUGAAUCAUCGAAUCUUUGAACGCACCUUGCGCCCUUUGGCCAUUCCGAAGGGCAUGCCUGUUUGAGUAUCAUGAACACCUCAACUCUUCAUGGUUUUCCAUGAUGAGCUUGGACUUUGGGGGUCUUGCUGGCCUGUGGGUCGGCUCCUCUCAAAUGAAUCAGCUUGCCGGUUUUUGGUGGGCAUCACAGGUGUGAUAACUAUCUACGCUUGUGGUUUUCCACCAGGGUAACCUUCAGCAGUGGAGGUUCACUGGAGCUUACAAAUGUCUCUCCUCUGUGAGGACAGCCCUUUGAAUGUUUGAUCUCAAAUCAGGUAGGACUACCCGCUGAACUUAAGCAUAUCAAUAAGCGGAGGA
This 406-nucleotide unclassified non-coding RNA is filed under the name soil metagenome. RNAcentral's name for it is "partial contains 5.8S ribosomal RNA, internal transcribed spacer 2, and large subunit ribosomal RNA". The stretch from base 1 to 121 matches the Rfam family "5.8S ribosomal RNA", at positions 35 to 154 of the family's 154-position model. The record is from RNAcentral.